Molecule: long non-coding RNA, 720 nt
Organism: Neogale vison (American mink)
Lineage: Eukaryota; Metazoa; Chordata; Mammalia; Carnivora; Mustelidae
Exons: 3
Source: RefSeq, a predicted model, not a curated record
UAGAAACUCGAGCAUAGCAUAGUUUUGACUAAUUAUGCCUUUAGCUGAGAAGUGUCUUUCCUUUGAGAGACUCAGGAAAGGGACUUCAGACGAGAACUCAUUCCUCCUCUCACUGGGUACGGGUCCAUGAGCCAGCAGCCGUCCAGCAAAAUACUAUUGCCACUGUACGCACGAGACGACCAAGGAUGGGAGUGUUCUAGAAGCGACGGAUGGGACCCUGAUGACCGCCGAAGGGGUGGAGCCAGGCUCCGGAGCCACAUGUGCUGUGUGUGUAACGCUGUCCUUCCUCAGACUGGCUUGGCCUGGAGACCCGGCGUGGCCCCACACGGUCACUAACACGGAAGACUACAGGACGUACAAGUAGGCAUCUGCGAGUCCGAAUCAAAGCGGGAGCCAGCAGAGCGAUGAGCCGGGGAGGCUUUCCUGUGCCUGGCUUGCUGAGUGUCCUUGUCCCAACCACUCUCCCGCUCUGGACAUCUGUUGCUUCCCCGGCACCAUCCAUCAAACCUGCCUCCCCGGGGGCAGAAGGCGGCAGAAACUUCCACCAACUGACUUGGAAGGAGGACACAACAUUCCUGCCAGCAGCGUUGGACAAAGCUACAUGUCCCCGACACAGGCCCUCACCUUUGGUUCGCGGGUCGGCUCUUCUCACUUCCAAAACAGUGAUGAGAUCAGCUGGGCUAGACCGAGAGCCCAACUGUUUUUCAUACUUUAAAAAAA